RNAcentral lists this ribosomal RNA (1730 nucleotides) under Triticum aestivum (bread wheat). Its description in RNAcentral is "partial small subunit ribosomal RNA". Lineage: Eukaryota; Viridiplantae; Streptophyta; Magnoliopsida; Poales; Poaceae. The record is from RNAcentral.
GCGCUCCGCGCGGGCGCUCCCCUUUGACCGCUACGUGGCUCUCCGCUCGCUGACACGCCCGCCCCGCCCCGCCCCGGGGACCUCCUCAAAUCCCCAUCGGCCCAUCCCCACCCCCCUCCACCUCCACCCCGCACCUCCCCACAAACGCGUAUUACCUCCUACGCUCCCGGAUCCGCUGCUCCACCCACCAACUCCGUUGCCACACGCCCUUGCACAAGCGAGCGAGCAACCAUGUCACCGGCAGAGCCGACGCGAGACGAGAGCGUCUACAUGGCCAAGCUUGCGGAGCAGGCCGAGCGCUACGAGGAGAUGGUGGAGUUCAUGGAGCGCGUCGCGAAGGCCACCGGCGGGGCAGGGCCCGGGGAGGAGCUAUCCGUUGAGGAGCGCAACCUGCUCUCUGUGGCUUACAAGAAUGUCAUCGGGGCCCGGCGCGCGUCCUGGAGGAUCAUCUCCUCCAUCGAGCAGAAGGAGGAAGGUCGGGGCAACGACGCGCACGCCGCCACCAUCCGCUCCUACCGCAGCAAGAUCGAGGCCGAGCUCGCAAAGAUCUGCAACGGCAUCCUCGCCCUGCUUGAUUCCCACCUCGUGCCAUCCGCCGGAGCUGCCGAGUCCAAAGUCUUCUAUCUCAAGAUGAAGGGCGACUACCACAGGUACCUUGCAGAGUUUAAGUCCGGUGAGGAGAGGAAGGAAGCCGCCGAGAGCACCAUGAACGCGUACAAAGCUGCUCAGGCCUUUGAUGAGGCUAUAUCAGAGCUGGACAGCUUAGGCGAGGAAUCCUACAAGGACAGCACUUUAAUCAUGCAGCUCCUGCGUGACAAUUUGACUCUAUGGACAUCCGACACCAAUGAGGAUGACGUUGAUGAGAUUAAGGAAGCCCCAGUUCCAAAAGAAUCUGGAGACGGACAGUGAGCUUUCGUUGCAACUAGAAGCAAAGGCGCGCUUUGCUGCGCCGUUCCUACCAUUCUUGGCAUUGUCAUGGUGAUCGAUAUGGCAAAUAAGAGAACGUAUCCUGUGCGCCAGCUGAAUUGGUGCCACGAAUGCGCCGGCCAUUUUUGGGCCACUUUAUGGGAACAGACGGACGAUGUUAGUAUAAGGUGGCAUAUGGUACGUUUCACACAAUGGACCUUGUAAAGUCAUUCAACUGCGCGUGCAGACCUUCUAAGAUCCGAUCGUCUUCUUCUCUUUGCUUUGCUCCCUUCUGUUCUUUUGAUUGAUUCAGUUUGUUGAUUCUUAAAUUGAAACUCCACUUUGAUGUCUAGUUUACCUUUCUGAAAUCUGUACUAGUUAUUCUUAUUCAUGAUUUUUUACUUAUUGCAAUCCACAUUCUAACAAUGCUUUAAAAUCAACAAUAUUGAUCUAGCGUACGUCCCUCGAGUCAUCUCACAAAUUCUUGAUACAUGUAACUGUAGUAGGUGUGAAUUUUAAUUGUAGAUAUACACUUUGCUUUGAUUGGGUGAUUCUGAAUAGGCCGUGCAAGCUAGUUCGAGUUCCCUGCGUCAGUGCUAAUGAUGUUAUAGAACACAGCCAGAAGAAACCGUGCUGCGAUUUCCGAUGUCCGCUCAUGUUUGAUCUUCAAGCAAGUCCGCUCAUGUUUGAUCUUCAAGCAAUCCUACUUGCUGACAUUUAUCUGGCUGUUGAUUCAGCUUGUAUUCUGGCCGACUUGUGGCUAUUGUUGCUUUUUUUUUUGUUCAUCUGUUUCUGUACUAAGUCCGACGCUUGCUCCUGUGCAC